UGGGGAAUAUUGCACAAUGGGCGCAAGCCUGAUGCAGCCAUGCCGCGUGUAUGAAGAAGGCCUUCGGGUUGUAAAGUACUUUCAGUCGGGAGGAAGGUGGUAAGGUUAAUAACCUUGGCAAUUGACGUUACCGACAGAAGAAGCACCGGCUAACUCCGUGCCAGCAGCCGCGGUAAUACGGAGGGUGCAAGCGUUAAUCGGAAUUACUGGGCGUAAAGCGCACGCAGGCGGUUGAUUGAGUCAGAUGUGAAAUCCCCGGGCUUAACCCGGGAAUUGCAUCUGAUACUGGUCAGCUAGAGUCUUGUAGAGGGGGGUAGAAUUCCAUGUGUAGCGGUGAAAUGCGUAGAGAUGUGGAGGAAUACCGGUGGCGAAGGCAGCCCCCUGGACAAAGACUGACGCUCAGGUGCGAAAGCGUGGGGAGCAAACAGG
Molecule: ribosomal RNA, 429 nt
Filed under: Chloroflexota bacterium
Lineage: Bacteria; Bacillati; Chloroflexota
Description: Chloroflexi bacterium partial 16S ribosomal RNA
Rfam family: Bacterial small subunit ribosomal RNA
Source: RNAcentral